GAUGAACGCUGGCGGCGUGCCUAAUACAUGCAAGUCGAGCGAACAGAUAAGGAGCUUGCUCCUUUGACGUUAGCGGCGGACGGGUGAGUAACACGUGGGUAACCUACCUAUAAGACUGGGAUAACUUCGGGAAACCGGAGCUAAUACCGGAUAAUAUUUCGAACCGCAUGGUUCGAUAGUGAAAGAUGGUUUUGCUAUCACUUAUAGAUGGACCCGCGCCGUAUUAGCUAGUUGGUAAGGUAACGGCUUACCAAGGCGACGAUACGUAGCCGACCUGAGAGGGUGAUCGGCCACACUGGAACUGAGACACGGUCCAGACUCCUACGGGAGGCAGCAGUAGGGAAUCUUCCGCAUUGGGCGAAAGCCUGACGGAGCAACGCCGCGUGAGUGAUGAAGGUCUUCGGAUCGUAAAACUCUGUUAUUAGGGAAGAACAUACGUGUAAGUAACUGUGCACGUCUUGACGGUACCUAAUCAGAAAGCCACGGCUAACUACGUG
Molecule: ribosomal RNA, 497 nt
Filed under: uncultured bacterium
Lineage: Bacteria
Description: partial 16S ribosomal RNA
Rfam family: Bacterial small subunit ribosomal RNA
Source: RNAcentral